AACAGGGAUUGCCCUAGUAACGGCGAGUGAAGCGGCAAUAGCUCAAAUUUGAAAUCUGGCCUCGGCCCGAGUUGUAAUUUGCAGAGGAUGUUUCUGGCGCGGUGCCUUCCGAGUUCCCUGGAACGGGACGCCACAGAGGGUGAGAGCCCCGUAUGGUUGGACACUAAGCCUGUGUGAAACUCCUUCGACGAGUCGAGUAGUUUGGGAAUGCUGCUCAAAAUGGGAGGUAAAUCUCUUCUAAAGCUAAAUACCGGCCAGAGACCGAUAGCGCACAAGUAGAGUGAUCGAAAGAUGAAAAGCACCUUGAAAAGGGGGUUAAACAGUACGUGAAAUUGUUGAAAGGGAAGCGCUUGUGACCAGACUUGCGCCGGGCGGCUCAUCCGGGGUUCUCCCCGGUGCACUCCGCCCGGCUCAGGCCAGCAUCGGUUCUCGUUGGGGGAUAAGAACGGCAGGAACGUGGCCCUCCUUCGGGUGGGUGUUAUAGCCUGCCGUACGAUACCCUGACGGGGACCGAGGUUCGCGCUCCGCAAGGAUGCUGGCGUAAUGGUCAUCAGCGACCCGUCUUGAAACACGGACCAAGGAGUCGUCCAUUAGAGCGAGCGUUUGGGUGUCAAACCCGCACGCGUAAUGAAAGUGAAAUUAGGUGAGAG
RNAcentral lists this ribosomal RNA (650 nucleotides) under Chrysoporthe syzygiicola. Its description in RNAcentral is "partial large subunit ribosomal RNA". It matches the Rfam family "Eukaryotic large subunit ribosomal RNA", at positions 67 to 741 of the family's 3401-position model. The record is from RNAcentral. Lineage: Eukaryota; Fungi; Ascomycota; Sordariomycetes; Diaporthales; Cryphonectriaceae.